UAGGUAACUCCGCCUAUGUCAUCUUAAGGCGUAACUAAAUGACAUAGCCGGUCCCAAGCCCGGAAAAAGGAGGAGGGGAUA
This 81-nucleotide non-coding RNA is filed under the name unclassified sequences. The record is from RNAcentral.